GCUAACGUCCGUCGUGAAGAGGGAAACAACCCAGACCGCCAGCUAAGGUCCCAAAGUCAUGGUUAAGUGGGAAACGAUGUGGGAAGGCCCAGACAGCCAGGAUGUUGGCUUAGAAGCAGCCAUCAUUUAAAGAAAGCGUAAUAGCUCACUGGUCGAGUCGGCCUGCGCGGAAGAUGUAACGGGGCUAAACCAUGCACCGAAGCUGCGGCAGCGACGCUUAUGCGUUGUUGGGUAGGGGAGCGUUCUGUAAGCCUGUGAAGGUGUGCUGUGAGGCAUGCUGGAGGUAUCAGAAGUGCGAAUGCUGACAUAAGUAACGAUAAAGCGGGUGAAAAGCCCGCUCGCCGGAAGACCAAGGGUUCCUGUCCAACGUUAAUCGGGGCAGGGUGAGUCGACCCCUAAGGCGAGGCCGAAAGGCGUAGUCGAUGGGAAACAGGUUAAUAUUCCUGUACUUGGUGUUACUGCGAAGGGGGGACGGAGAAGGCUAUGUUGGCCGGGCGACGGUUGUCCCGGUUUAAGCGUGUAGGCUGGUUUUCCAGGCAAAUCCGGAAAAUCAAGGCUGAGGCGUGAUGACGAGGCACUACGGUGCUGAAGCAACAAAUGCCCUGCUUCCAGGAAAAGCCUCUAAGCAUCAGGUAACAUCAAAUCGUACCCCAAACCGACACAGGUGGUCAGGUAGAGAAUACCAAGGCGCUUGAGAGAACUCGGGUGAAGGAACUAGGCAAAAUGGUGCCGUAACUUCGGGAGAAGGCACGCUGAUAUGUAGGUGAAGUCCCUCGCGGAUGGAGCUGAAAUCAGUCGAAGAUACCAGCUGGCUGCAACUGUUUAUUAAAAACACAGCACUGUGCAAACACGAAAGUGGACGUAUACGGUGUGACGCCUGCCCGGUGCCGGAAGGUUAAUUGAUGGGGUCAGCGCAAGCGAAGCUCUUGAUCGAAGCCCCGGUAAACGGCGGCCGUAACUAUAACGGUCCUAAGGUAGCGAAAUUCCUUGUCGGGUAAGUUCCGACCUGCACGAAUGGCGUAAUGAUGGCCAGGCUGUCUCCACCCGAGACUCAGUGAAAUUGAACUCGCUGUGAAGAUGCAGUGUACCCGCGGCAAGACGGAAAGACCCCGUGAACCUUUACUAUAGCUUGACACUGAACAUUGAGCCUUGAUGUGUAGGAUAGGUGGGAGGCUUAGAAGUGUGGACGCCAGUCUGCAUGGAGCCGACCUUGAAAUACCACCCUUUAAUGUUUGAUGUUCUAACGUUGACCCGUAAUCCGGGUUGCGGACAGUGUCUGGUGGGUAGUUUGACUGGGGCGGUCUCCUCCUAAAGAGUAACGGAGGAGCACGAAGGUUGGCUAAUCCUGGUCGGACAUCAGGAGGUUAGUGCAAUGGCAUAAGCCAGCUUGACUGCGAGCGUGACGGCGCGAGCAGGUGCGAAAGCAGGUCAUAGUGAUCCGGUGGUUCUGAAUGGAAGGGCCAUCGCUCAACGGAUAAAAGGUACUCCGGGGAUAACAGGCUGAUACCGCCCAAGAGUUCAUAUCGACGGCGGUGUUUGGCACCUCGAUGUCGGCUCAUCACAUCCUGGGGCUGAAGUAGGUCCCAAGGGUAUGGCUGUUCGCCAUUUAAAGUGGUACGCGAGCUGGGUUUAGAACGUCGUGAGACAGUUCGGUCCCUAUCUGCCGUGGGCGCUGGAGAACUGAGGGGGGCUGCUCCUAGUACGAGAGGACCGGAGUGGACGCAUCACUGGUGUUCGGGUUGUCAUGCCAAUGGCACUGCCCGGUAGCUAAAUGCGGAAGAGAUAAGUGCUGAAAGCAUCUAAGCACGAAACUUGCC
This 1817-nucleotide ribosomal RNA is filed under the name Escherichia coli. Its description in RNAcentral is "partial 23S ribosomal RNA". It matches the Rfam family "Bacterial large subunit ribosomal RNA", at positions 997 to 2798 of the family's 2925-position model. The record is from RNAcentral. Lineage: Bacteria; Pseudomonadati; Pseudomonadota; Gammaproteobacteria; Enterobacterales; Enterobacteriaceae.